AACAGAUUUAAGGUCCAUAAAAAGCAAAUAACCAACGAUGCUCUGACAUGGGUUUCUGAGUUCUCUCUUUUGCUUGAGAUGAAAAAAUGGAUGCCUGAUUUGUAGCAUAUCACAUCUAAAGUAAACAAACAGGGGGAGCGAAGUUUGAUUUUAACGUUGGGGGUGGGAGGAUAUUUGAGUGACAAUUAUUCAUUCUGUAAAACAGAGAACGGU
This 213-nucleotide unclassified non-coding RNA is filed under the name Hevea brasiliensis (rubber tree). The record is from RNAcentral. Lineage: Eukaryota; Viridiplantae; Streptophyta; Magnoliopsida; Malpighiales; Euphorbiaceae.